AAGAGCAAUGUAACGUUCUGCUCCUUUGAGUUUUGACGUACUAGAUGCCUAAAGCGGAUCUUUGCUUGGUAUCUGUGGAACCUUUCAUUGGAAAAGAUUAAACCACAUGUUUUGACCCCCAGGCUAACAAGUCUAGAUGCCGAGAUUUCACAUCUCAUGCGCUCAAAGUCUUUGACGCACCACAUCGACAAAAGCCUUCAAUGGCAAUCUGUGCAAAAAGUAAUGACCACAAAGUACUGUGGAAUGCACUCAUGGAGCGUUUCUCGAAACAUUCAUAUAACUCUACUUGUUGAGUUAUUAGUCAAGUGGAUUGCUUACCACCUUAAUUGACUACAUAUUGUCGAUGAUCUUUUGUGGCAUCAUGAUCCAUAAUCUUUAGCGGAUUCGAUCAUCAUCAAGUUCUCUAGGUCCUCCAAGUUGGUGUGGAUUACCAACGAGACUUGAUUUUGAUCAUACAAACAGGAAUUGUAUAUACGCUAAUGUGAUAAACUUAUUUGGCAUUAUCCCCUAAUGUGGGGACAACAAUAUGGGUCAUGGCAACGGCAGAAAACGUCGUGCCGAUGUCUAGAAAAGAGGGGGAGGUGUUGCCGGCUCUAAUAGCGACACUCCCGGUCUAGACACCAUUUUAUCAAAACUACUCACGUCAGCUCAUGAGAUUAAUGCAACCAUUGUGAAUCUUCGGAUCACUGGAUCAAGAUUGUCAAGCUCCUUUAAAUUGUGAAUGCAUACAAAAAGGUAUGGAAAAUCAAUAUGAGGACAAGGACGUCAUCUUCAUGAUCGCGAAUUUCAAAGAUUCGGAUCCUACUCUAGCUACCCAUGAUUUUGAUGUCAUCGGCUAGACAUUGAUUUUCGUUCCAAGUUAUAUGUACUAAGGCGUUGUAUCGACAUCCUUUGUCUAUUUGAGACCUCGAUGUACUCACAUUAGCAAUAAUGAAUGCUUUGAGAAUUUUUCGAAGUGAAACUAUUCUCCUCUUAUGGUUCAUAUUGAUUUACAAUCAAGAUGUACACUUACAUCGUCCUUAGAAACAUGGCAUAUUGUGCCGAUUUUGGUCCCUUCCUUUGAAGGUGACUCAUGGCACUGCAUCCUCAAGGAGGAUCACCCACGUGUUUCCGGUUAGUCUUCUACCCUAUAGCGGAUUUUCAUCAUCAAUUGUUCAACUAGGCUCAUCCA
Molecule: long non-coding RNA, 1171 nt
Filed under: Fragaria vesca (wild strawberry)
Lineage: Eukaryota; Viridiplantae; Streptophyta; Magnoliopsida; Rosales; Rosaceae
Description: long non-coding RNA (FVES_LNC005170)
Source: RNAcentral